Molecule: non-coding RNA, 454 nt
Organism: Penaeus vannamei (Pacific white shrimp)
Lineage: Eukaryota; Metazoa; Arthropoda; Malacostraca; Decapoda; Penaeidae
Source: RefSeq, a predicted model, not a curated record
AGUCAUCAGUGGUUUCUCAGUCGAUGAAGUCAAUCGGAGGGAGAAAGGAGACACAGCAGAUAAUCGGAUGGACAGAUAACGACGAAAAUGAAAAUGCAAGGACCUGGAGAGAGCCCCAUGCCUAUCUCUGAUAACUGCCCUCAGAAGUGCUUGUUAUCGUCGAUAUAGCCGGACACAAUCGUAUUGCUGAUCUGAUAGCGUUCUCUAAACCGCCCUCUUUUUGUUGGCGUCUACUGCACACACCGCCCGCUCGUCAGCAUGUCUCUCCGAUGCGCUCAUAUCUUGGCUUUUUUCAUCGUUAACCUGGAUUCACCCUUGACCCAGGCUGCUGUUUUCAGGAUUAGCAAAGGCGAAUGGAAGUCCUACGAGCCCCUGAGCAUAAAGGCGAAUCUUGGAAACGCGACGAUUCUUGACAAGAAGCCAAAGCAAGAUUCGAAACAAAUUUCACCUGAUA